RNAcentral lists this ribosomal RNA (426 nucleotides) under uncultured bacterium. RNAcentral's name for it is "bacterial SSU rRNA". It matches the Rfam family "Bacterial small subunit ribosomal RNA", at positions 354 to 796 of the family's 1533-position model. The record is from RNAcentral.
GUGAGGAAUAUUGCACAAUGGGCGGAAGCCUGAUGCAGCAACGCCGCGUGGGGGAAGAAGGCCUUCGGGUUGUAAACCUCUUUUCUGGGGGACGAGGAAGGACGGUACCUCAGGAAUAAGUCUCGGCUAACUACGUGCCAGCAGCCGCGGUAAAACGUAGGAGGCGAGCGUUAUCCGGAUUUACUGGGCGUAAAGGGCUCGCAGGCGGCUUAGUAAGUUAGACGUGAAAGCUCCUGGCUUAACUGGGAGAGGUCGUUUGAAACUGCUAGGCUUGAGGAUGGGAGAGGGGUGUAGAAUUCCCGGUGUAGUGGUGGAAUGCGUAGAUAUCGGGAGGAACACCAGUGGCGGAGGCGGCACCCUGGCCCACACCUGACGCUGAGGAGCGAAAGCGUGGGUAGCGAACAGGAUUAGAAACCCUAGUAGUCC